Columba livia (rock pigeon) is the source of this 899-nucleotide long non-coding RNA. RefSeq lists it as uncharacterized. The transcript has 2 exons. Lineage: Eukaryota; Metazoa; Chordata; Aves; Columbiformes; Columbidae. The record is from RefSeq and is a predicted model, not a curated record.
GUUUUCCUUUAAAAACGGAGCUAAAACACACAUGUAUUCUGAAAAAGCCCCAGUUCCAGCCGGCUGAAACCCCUGAUUCCACCCAAGCCGGCUUCUCUGCCCAGCUCCUGACACAGGGUGUGAAUUUCUGGAAGCCUGGGGAGAAGGCAGAGGUGUGGGAGGGCGGCAGCAGCCUUUGAGCUGCGGGCAUGUAACAAAUCUGUCCUCAGGGUCAGCAGCUUCCUCCGCACCGGCAGCCGCUGUGGGACGGGGAUCGCUCCUUGGACGCGGCCAUCGGGAAGACUUGAACGCAGAGCAGAACUCCUCAGCAGCCCGGACAGGAGACUGAACGUCAUUUCCACAUCGGCAGGAUGUGCAAUUUGGGAACGCAACGCGGGCCAAGGUUUCCAUUCUCGUCUGACUGUGUAAUUGCUGUGUGUGGAGACUCCAAGAAAAUCACCAAAUACCUCAGCAGUACAGAUCAGCUACCAGGGGAUUCCACAUCCAGUGUUUCCUAAGUUCUCCACGAUGCAGACAGCAGAUAUUUGUUUCUUCAGCACAAAUGUUUGCCAACACAAAUAACAGACUCUGCCCAUUACUGCAAGGCAAGAGUUUGACAUCCACCUCUGCCAAAUCCCAUCAGUUAAUCAGCAGAUUGAAAAGCCAGCAGGACAUCAGAAAGGACACACAGACACAGCAGCAGCAUGUGAACCACCUUGAUGUGCCAGACACCUUGAUGUGCUGGACACCUUGAUGUGAAGGACACCUCAAUGUGAUGGACACUUUGAUGCGAUGGACACCUCGAUGUGAUGGACACCUUGAUGUGAUGAACACCUGGACACGAUGGACACCUGGACAUUACGGACACCUCAAUGUGAUGGACACCUCAAUGUGAUGGACACCUUGAUGUGAUGGACACC